This 492-nucleotide ribosomal RNA is filed under the name uncultured bacterium. Its description in RNAcentral is "partial 16S ribosomal RNA". It matches the Rfam family "Bacterial small subunit ribosomal RNA", at positions 29 to 507 of the family's 1533-position model. The record is from RNAcentral.
AGUGAACGCUGGCGGUAGGCCUAACACAUGCAAGUCGAACGGCAGCACAGUAAGAGCUUGCUCUUACGGGUGGCGAGUGGCGGACGGGUGAGGAAUACAUCGGAAUCUACUUUUUCGUGGGGGAUAACGUAGGGGAACUUACGCUAAUACCGCAUACGUCCUACGGGUGAAAGCAGGGGAUCUUCGGACCUUGCGCGAUUGAAUGAGCCGAUGUCGGAUUAGCUAGUUGGCGGGGUAAAGGCCCACCAAGGCGACGAUCCGUAGCUGGUCUGAGAGGAUGAUCAGCCACACUGGAACUGAGACACGGUCCAGACUCCUACGGGAGGCAGCAGUGGGGAAUAUUGGACAAUGGGCGCAAGCCUGAUCCAGCCAUACCGCGUGGGUGAAGAAGGCCUUCGGGUUGUAAAGCCCUUUUGUUGGGAAAGAAAAGCAGCAGGUUAAUACCCCGCUGUUCUGACGGUACCCAAAGAAUAAGCACCGGCUAACUUCGUG